CAGUCGCCGCGGGAAUACGUAGGUGGCAAGCGUUGUCCGGAAUUAUUGGGCGUAAAGCGCGCGCAGGCGGUUUCUUAAGUCUGAUGUGAAAGCCCCCGGCCUAACCGGGGAGGGUCAUUGGAAACUGGGAGACUUAGAGUGCAGAAGAGGAGAGUGGAAUUCCAUGUGUAGCGGUGAAAUGCGUAGAUAUAUGGAGGAACACCAGUGGCGAAGGCGACUCUCUGGUCUGUAACUGACGCUGAGGCGCGAAAGCGUGGGGAGCAAACAGGAUUAGAUACCCGUGUAGUCCCUGUCUCUUAUA
Molecule: ribosomal RNA, 301 nt
Filed under: uncultured bacterium
Lineage: Bacteria
Description: partial 16S ribosomal RNA
Rfam family: Bacterial small subunit ribosomal RNA
Source: RNAcentral